UACGGGGGGAGCAAGCGUUGUUCGGAUUUACUGGGCGUAAAGGGCGCGUAGGCGGUCGUGACAAGUCACUUGUGAAAUCUCCGGGCUUAACUCGGAACGGUCAAGUGAUACUGUCGGACUAGAGUACAGAAGGGGCAACUGGAAUUCUCGGUGUAGCGGUGAAAUGCGUAGAUAUCGAGAGGAACACCUGCGGCGAAGGCGGGUUGCUGGGCUGAUACUGACGCUGAGGCGCGAAAGCCAGGGAGCGAACGGG
RNAcentral lists this ribosomal RNA (253 nucleotides) under uncultured bacterium. RNAcentral describes it as "partial 16S ribosomal RNA". It matches the Rfam family "Bacterial small subunit ribosomal RNA", at positions 524 to 776 of the family's 1533-position model. The record is from RNAcentral.